This 4087-nucleotide long non-coding RNA is filed under the name Homo sapiens (human). Its description in RNAcentral is "non-protein coding lnc-PRM1-1:8". Lineage: Eukaryota; Metazoa; Chordata; Mammalia; Primates; Hominidae. The record is from RNAcentral.
AAAAGUAAAUAAACGCCCUCAAGUUAGGAAUGAACGGAGGAAAUGGGUUAAACGAGAAUAAAUAAUUGAAGGCAGAGAGGUAAAGAACUUCCUCUUUCAACGCAUCUCAAAAUUUGGCGUGGAUGCAGAUCACCUACAGAGUAUGAUUAUUCAUCUUUACAUUGCCUUGUUUUGAGGGUCUCACUCUGUUGCCCAGGAUGGAGUGCAGUGGCACAGUGACGGCUCACUACAACGUUCACCUCCCGGGCAUAGGUGAUUCUCCUACCUCAGCCUCCCAAGUAUCUCGGACUACAGGCGUGCACCACCACGUCCAGCUAAUUUUUGUAUUUUUUGUAGAGACAGGGUCUUACCAUGUUGCCCAAGGUGGUCUGGAACUCCUGGGAUCACGCAAUCCUGCCUCCUUGGCCUCCCAAAGUGCUGGGAUUACAGGCGUGAGCCACCAUGCCUGGCCUAUUACUGAUAUACAAAUAGUGUUUUGUAUAUUGUUUUCACUUAAUAAUGAACAUCUUUCUGUAUCAGCAAAUAUCCAUCUGCUUCCUCUUGAAUGACUGCAUAAUACUCGAUUUGUCUUAUCACAUAUUAAACCAAUAUCCUACAGUUGGACAUUAAGGCUAUUUCCAAUUUUUCACUUUAUAAAUAUAUCCACUGUGGACCUACUUAAAAGAUAAAUCUUUUUUAUUUAUUUAUUUAUUUAUUUUUUUGAGACGGAGUCUCACUCUGUCACCCAGGCUGGAGUGCAGUGGCGCCAUCUGGGCUCACUACAAGCUCCGCCUCCCAGGUUCCCGCCAUUCUCCUGCCUCAGCCUCCCGAGUAGCUGAGACUACAGGUGCCUGCCACCACGCCCAGCUAAUUUUUUGUACUUUGUUUUAGUAGAGACGAGGUUUCACCGUGUUAGCCAGGAUGGUCUCGAUCUCCUGACCUCGUGAUCCACCCGUAAAAGCUAAAUCUUUUUGUGCAUCCUUCAAAUAAAAUUCCCAGGAAUCUCUCCCUAAAAAUUGGAUGUCCCCAGUCAGCAAAGUCCACAGAUCCUAAAUCAGGCAAUCCUUAAAGUCAAGGUCAGUUCUUAAGAGAAACUUUGAGUUCCCAGGGCCUCCUGCAGUACCAGGCAUUCAGAGAGUAUUCAGCAAGAGCUUGAUUUUUUUUUUUUUUUUUUUUUGAGACGGAGUCUCGCUGUGUCACCCAGGCAGGAGUGCAGUUGUGCCAUCUCAGCUCACUGCAACCUCCGCCUCCCAGGUUCAAGUGAUUCUCCUGCCUCAGCCUCCUGAGUAGCUGGGACUACAGGUACACGCCACCCGCCUGGCUAAUUUUUGUAUUUUUUAGUAGAGACGGGGUUUCGUCAUACUGGCCAGGCUAGUCUCAAACUCCUGACCUCGUGAUCUGCCCGCUCAGCCUCCCAAAGUGCUGGGAUUACAGGCGUCAGCCACCGCACCCGGCCAAGAGCUUCAUUUUUAUAAAAUUGAGCCAGGUCCUAUUGUAAGAACUUUGUAGGAAGUAUCCCAUGUACCCCCACAGACCCUGAAAAGACUGUUCCACACAGGUGAGGAAACUGAGGCUUAAGGAAGCUAGAGGGCUGGCCCAUAGACUCUCAGUAGCCUCUAUGAGGUUUUGGCCUCUACACCUAAUAUGGUUUGGCUGUGUCCCCACCCAAAUCUCAUGUUGAAUUGUACUUCCCAUAAUCCCCACAUAUCGUGGGAAGGACCCCGUGGUAGGUAAUUGAAUCAUGGGGGCGGAUACUCCCAUGCUGUUCUCGUGAUAGUGAGUGAGUUCUCACAAGAUCUGAUGGUUUUAUAAGGUGCUUUUCCCCCUUUGCUCGGCACUACUUCUUCCUGCUGCCACAUAAAGAAGGACGUUUGCUUCCCUUUCUGCCAUGAUUGUAAGUUUCCUGAGGCCUCCCAGCCCUGCGGAACUGGAGUUAAUUAAACCUCUUUCCUUUAUAAAUUACCCAGUCUUGGACAGUUCUUUAUAGCAGUGUGAGAACAGACUAAUACAACACCUCAACCCUGACCUAUGAAGUAACCAGGCUCCUAGGCUGAGAAAGGAGCAGGAACAUUAACCAAGAGAGAAUCCAACCCGUUCAUGCCUGAUGAUGAAACUGAGGUUCAAGCCAAUGACAAGCCUGAAGCCACAUGGCUAGUGAGUGGCAGAGUCAGAACUCAAACCCAAAUCCACCUGACCCCAAACUUCAUGUAUCUUGAACUACAGGCUCCAUCUCACUGUUCACACUCUCACCCACCUCCACCCAUCAAAGGUGCCUCUAGACCUUUGCUUGUGUUGUUUGUUCUCUGCCUGACAUGCCUCCCCCUCAGUCGCUCUCAGUUGAAACCUGGCUUAGUCAUCAAGUGCCUGCUCAGCAGCAAGACCUCUUCUCUUCACAGAGCCUUUGUUGAGCCCCACCACUGGAAUUAACCUCUUCCUUCCAGACCAGUUUGGUGGUGCCCCUAAUCCACAGUUUCCCAACCUCAGCCCUACUGACACUGGGGCUGGAUAAUCUUUGUCGUGGGGGCUGUCGUGUGCACUGCAGGAUAUGGAGCAGUACCCCUGCUUUCCACCCACGAGAUGCCAUGGCACCCUCCUCAAGUUGCAACAACCAAAAUAUGUCUUCAGACAUUGCCACUGUCCCCUAGGGUACUAAAUCACCUCUAUGGAGAACCACUGUCCUAAGCUACAAUACUCACUGCCCUCUGUUUUGAGCCAUAAAUAGUUGUGUCUGUGUCUAUCUUACCAGUAAAGCCUGGGUUCUCAAACUAAGUUGUCAGCAGCAGACAGACAGGUAACCCUGGUGUAGCAGGGGCAAACUGGCCUUCUGAUGUCCCGGCAACAGGGGUCCAUCACACUCAGCCGGUGGUUGUCGUGCAGGACUGUGGGCCCAUUGUUGCUAGAUCUGAUUUUUCAAGACAUUUUCUUUUUUUCGUUUGUUUUUGUUUUGUUUUAGAUGGAGUCUAACUCUGUUGCCCAGGCUGUAGUGCAAUGGCACGAUCUCAACUCACCACAACUUCCACCUCCCAGGUUUAAGUGAUUCUCCUGCCUCAGCCUUACAAGUAGCUGGGAUUACAGGUGCCCGCCACCACGCCCGGCCAAUUUUGUGUAUUUUUAGUAGAGAUGGGGUUUCACCAUGUUGGCCAGGCUAGUCUCGAACUCCCUACCUCAGAUGAUCCACCUGCCUUGGCCUCCCAAAGUGCUGGGAUUACGGGCGUGAGCCACCGCGCCCAGCUCAAGACAUUUUCAUGUAUAAUUUCCAUGUUUAAAAAAAAAAUGCUGGCAAACAAUUCAAUUCUGAAACAAAGGAACAAAAACAAACCAUGUGCCCCAGAAAGUCAUCCAUGGACUGACUCUGGCCCGUGGGCUUCCAAUCUGCAAACUCUCUCUAGAACGUGACCUCUGCUUCAGGCACCAAGGCAGCCUGCAUGUUCACUAACGUGCAGGUCCUUAAAUCUCCUGCAAAAUAGCCAAGGGGCUGUAGUGUUCCACCAGCUCCAAGAGUUGCAAAAUCAGCAUUUUAAAUUACAGUCAUGAGCAGACAAGUGGGGUCUGUUGACACAUGUUGGGUAAGCCUCCCCUCUAGGGAGGAUUAUCCCCCCUCCCCCACACCACAAUCCAUCACCCUCACACUCAGGCCUGAAGCAACCCCCUGUGCCAGCCUCCCCGAGCUCCAGCUUCCCAGUGAGAUCAAAGAUCCUUGGAAGGCGGUUUCCUGCCACCUGCACCAGUGAGGACAAAGCCCUCUCCCUCUCCCUCUCCCUCUGCCCCUCCCCUCUUCCCUCUUUCCACGGUCUCCCUCUGAUGCCGAGCCGAAGCUGGACUGUACUGCUGCCAUCUCUGCUCACUGCAACCUCCCUGCCUGAUUCUCCUGCCUCAGCCUGCUGAGUGCCUGCGAUUGCAGCCUCACGCCGCCACGCCUGACUGGUUUUCGUAUUUUUUGGGUGGAGACGGGUUUUCGCCGUGUUGGCCGGGCUGGUCUCCAGCUCCUAACCGCGAGUGAUCCGCCAGCCUCGGCCUCCCGAGGUGCCGGGAUUGCAGACGGAGUCUCCUCCACUCAGUGCUCAAUGGUGCCCAGGCUGGAGUGCAGUGGCGUGAUCUCGGCUCGCUA